RNAcentral lists this ribosomal RNA (1089 nucleotides) under Neomysis awatschensis. Its description in RNAcentral is "16S ribosomal RNA". The stretch from base 869 to 1025 matches the Rfam family "Archaeal large subunit ribosomal RNA", at positions 2544 to 2703 of the family's 2987-position model. Lineage: Eukaryota; Metazoa; Arthropoda; Malacostraca; Mysida; Mysidae. The record is from RNAcentral.
AUACAACUAAUAAAUUAAUAGAUAUAUAAUUAUAUUAAUGUCAACUUCUAAAAAGAAUAUACUAAAUUUUUAAAAAAUACCUUUUGUAUCUGGUGCUACCAAAAUAUAUUAAUUUAUAUAUUUCCUGAAAUAAUUUUUCAUUCUUCUGUGUAACCCCUUGUGGAAUUAAGGUUUUUGGAAGAAAGUAGUGAAAUGCUUACGAAAAUUUAUAUAUCCGGUUUAUAAAUUAAAUUUAUUUAAUAAAUUAGAUAAAAUAUAAAGGAUUAGCUUUAUAUUUAAUUUUUUGUUUAAUUCUUAAAUUGUAAAUAACAUUAAUGGUGUGUAAUUUAACAUAGUUUAAUAACUUAUAUAUAAUAUUUAUUUCUCAAGAAAUUUUCAUUUAUAAAAAUAAUAAUCUAUUAUAUUAUAAUAAUGGUAGUAUAAGUAUAACUAUAUCAGGUUUAACAAUAAGUUCUGGUGAAUAAAAAUUAUAUUAGGAACUCAACCAAUAUUUACUUUGUCUGUUUAGUAAAAACAUCGCUUUUAAAGUUAAAAGCAACUUCUGCCCACUGUAAUAUAAAGGGCCGCAGUAUAAUAAUUGUGCAAAGGUAGCAUAAUAGAUUGUCUCUUAAUUGGGGACUGGAAUGAAAGGAGUCACAAAAGUAAAAUUUUCUUAUGUAUUUUAUAAAAAUUUAUGUUUCUGUAAAAAAGCAGAAUUUACUUUAAGGGACGAUAAGACCCUAUAAAUUUUCACUUAUUUAAAAUAUAAAGUUAUAAAAUAGUAUAAGAUUAGAUGGGGCAACUAAUUUAUUAAAUUAAGUUUAUGUAUACAUUAUAUAUGGGUGAAAGAGCGUUAAUACAAUUAACCAGUAGAAAUAAAUACUUUAGGGAUAACAGAGUAAUAAUUUUGGAGAGAUCUUAUCAAUAAAAUUGGUUACUACCUCGAUGUUGAAUUAAAAAGUUCUGAAGGUGUAGAAUAUUUCAGAAAAAGUCUGUUCGACUUAGAAUUUUACAUGAUUUGAGUUUAAACCGGUGCAAGCCAGGUUGGAUUCUAUCUUUAAACUUAUAUUCUUUUUAGUACGAAAGGACCGAAAGAAAAUAUAUAAUAUA